Molecule: RNA transcript, 4500 nt
Organism: Salvia splendens (bonfire salvia)
Lineage: Eukaryota; Viridiplantae; Streptophyta; Magnoliopsida; Lamiales; Lamiaceae
Gene name: formin-like protein 18
Exons: 21
Source: RefSeq, a predicted model, not a curated record
UCCACACAAUCAUCAUCACCAUCGCAAUCUCAAUCCGCAGGAGCAGCAUCUCUGUGUUUUUUGUCCUACUAUCAUCUCACAAUUAUCAAGGAUUAAGGAUAUACACUUCGCCAAUGUCACCACCUUCUGUUAUAUAAUCCCUGAAAACGAUAUUUGCAGAUAAACAGCAUUGAUGUAAUUAAUUAUGGAGAGGCAUGGAGAAAUCAUCCAGUAGUAGAACAAUAGAAUACACCGUUCGUCCCAAUCGAGAAAUUCCGCUCUUCUGCUAACUCACUAACCCCAAACAGAAGCUCAGAUUCUCUAUUGGAUUCGCACCACUAGUUCGAUUCAGUAAUGGCGCUGUUUCGCAAGUUGUUCUACCGCAAGCCGCCUGAUGGCCUUCUCGAGAUCUGCGAGAGAGUUUAUGUGUUUGAUUGUUGUUUUACAACUGAUUCUUUGGAGAAACAAGAUUACAAAGGCUAUGUGGGAGGCAUUGUCAGCCAACUGAGAGAAAACUAUCCUGAUUCUUCAAUCUUAGCUUUUAAUUUCCGAGAAGGGGAGACACAGACCGAGAUAGGGAGUGUGUUGACAGAAUAUGAUAUGACCGUAAUGGAGUAUCCUCGCCAAUAUGAAGGUUGUCCGCUCCUCCCAAUGGAGGUUGUUCACCACUUCUUAAAAUCUAGCGAAAGCUGGCUGUCACUUGGGAUCCAAAAUCUGCUUCUCAUGCACUGUGAAUGCGGUGGUUGGCCUGUUUUAGCUUUCAUGUUGGCUGCUUUGCUGAUCUACAGAAAGCACUACAGUGGGGAACUUAAGACCUUGGACAUGGUGCACAAACAAGCUCCUCGAGAGCUUUUAUACUUGAUGUCCCCCUUGAAUCCCAUUCCUUCUCAGUUAAGGUACUUGCAAUAUGUGACAAGGAGGAACGUCGCAAUACAAUGGCCACCGAUAGACCGGGCACUCACCUUGGAUUGUAUUAUUAUGAGAAUGAUUCCUAAUUUUGAUGGCAAGGGUGGUUGCCGACCAAUAUUUCGUAUUUAUGGACAAGAUCCAUUUUCUGUUUCUGAGCGUGCACCCAAGGUCCUAUUCUCCACUCCAAAGAGGAGUAAAGCUAUUCGACACUACCAGCAGGGUGAAUCUGAAAUAAUAAAGGUUGACCUCAAUUGCCACAUUCAAGGUGAUGUUGUGCUGGAAUGUAUCAGCUUGAAUGAUGACAUGGAGCGGGAAAAGAUGAUGUUUCGUGUCAUGUUUAACACUGCUUUUAUAAGGUCAAAUAUUUUAAUGCUCAAUAAGGAUGAUAUUGAUAUUUUAUGGAAUGCAAAGGAACAAUUUCCUAAGGACUUCAGGUCAGAGGUUCUUUUCUCUGAGGACACUACCACUUCCCUGGUUCGUGUGAACUCCUCCUGCUUUGAGGAGAAGGAUGGCCUUCCAGAGGAGGCCUUUGCUAAAGUUCGUGAAAUGUUUAAUAGUGUGGAUUGGUUGGUUCCGAAGGGAGAUUCUGGAGUUGAAGUUUUAAAGGAGAGCCUUGCAGCAUUAGAUGUUCAAUCUCUUUCUAAGAGCCAAACAAGUCUAAGUUCUGAGAACCAAUCUGAUUUAUCACCAAAAUUUUCCCAAAACACUGAUACGGCUAGUAUUCAAGCUGACCACCAAUUUUCACCGACUGAUACGACAGCAGUCAUAUCCUCGAAGCUAACGCUAAUCCCUUCUGGUGAUCAUUCUCCACCCUCAUUGACUUCACCACAUCAUCAAUUUUCUAUAACAAAAACUCUUCAUUUGUCACCCAGACAACAAUAUGAAACAAAGGCUGAGGCCAAAGAUGUCUCUCCUUUAUGUGCACCUAAAGAAACAUCGUAUGCUAAAACCUCACCUACAAGUGCACCAUCUCAGUCAGCAAGAGAUGCAGGUGCCUUCUUUGGACCUUCUCCUUGUAGUCAACAAACAUCACCUUUUACCCAUUCAAAGGAUAAAAUCGGCUCCGUAAGUGCAUCCCAUUCAAUCCCACUUCUGCCACUGGAGAUCGCUAGUGGUCGCUCUUUUAGGGACGAAAAUAUAUGUAUGCCCGAUAUUUUGUCCACUCAUACAAAAUGUCCAAAGAGUCAAGAUAGGGUCGUAGAGGAUGAACUUUCUAAAUCUGAAUAUCUUCUUUCAUCAGCAUUUUCAGCUGAAGAUUUACCAGAAUCCCCUAAAGCCGGAACUCCUCCAACUCCUCCUGUGUCUGAUCUGCAUGCAGCUCCUACUGGGGUUAAAUCAGCUUCUGUAUGUGGUCCAGCACAACCUGCACCUAUUCCUUCUCCACCACCACAACUACCACCACCUCCUAAGGAAAGUUGUAGCGGUGGGGAGUCUACUCCACUUUCUGGGGUUGGUGCAUCUCCCUCAAUCCCAAGUAUGGGGCAUAGCUCAGGCGUAGUAUCUGUGCCUUGUCCCCCACCUCCCCCUCAGCUCCCUGAAGAGAUAUCUGGUGGAGGAGGGCCUCUGUGUCCUAUACCUCCCCUGCAUCCCAUGGGACCUAAUACUCCACCAUAUGUAUCUCCACCACAGCCUCCUCCACCCCCUGCCAUCCCCACUACCAAGAGUUCUUCAAGUGUUCCUUCAGCACCUCCUCCACCUCAUUUUACAAACAAUGCUGCUAGUGGAGGCAGUUUGCCUGGAGUUCCGUCUCCCCCACCACCUUUGGCCCCUCCACCUGGGACAAAAGGGAAAGCCUUGUUGUCGCGUACACAGGUUUCAAAAAAUAACCAAUCGAAAAAAUUGAAGCCAUUGCAUUGGCUAAAAAUAUCAAAAGUUGCUUCAGGAAGCUUGUGGGCUGAGACUCAAAAAUCUGAAGCUUCUAAGGCUCCGGAGAUUGAUAUUUCAGAACUUGAAUCUCUCUUCUCAGCAGCAGUUCCAAAUAAAGGUCAAGGGGGCAGAAAAACUGGUUCACUAGCUUCAAUAAGCAGUAAACCUGAAAAAGUGCAAUUGAUAGAACACAGGCGUGCAUACAAUUGUGAAAUAAUGCUGUCAAAAGUGAAGAUACCCUUGCAAGAUAUGCUGAGUUCAGUACUUUCCUUGGAAGACUCUGCAUUAGAUGUCGACCAGGUUGAUAACCUAAUCAAGUUUUGUCCAACUAAAGAUGAGAUGGAAGUUCUAAAGAGUUACAAAGGUGUGAGAGACAAUUUAGGCAAAUGCGAACAGUUCUUUUUGGAUUUGAUGCAUGUGCCACGGAUAGAACAUAAGUUGAGAGUUUAUUCCUUUAAAAUUCAGUUCCGCGGCCAGGUUUCUGACCUCAGGAAGAGUUUGGAUGUGGUGAAUUCUGCUUCAGAUCAGAUCAGGGGUUCUGCUAAGUUGAAAAGAAUCAUGCAAACAAUUCUUUCUCUGGGUAAUGCUUUAAACCAGGGAACUGCUCGAGGAUCUGCUGUGGGGUUCAGAUUGGAUAGCCUCCUCAAACUUACUGAGACUCGUGCCCUGAAUAAUAAGAUGACCCUGAUGCAUUAUUUGUGCAAGGUUCUUUCGGACAAAUUGCCGGAGCUUCUUGAUUUUUGGCAAGACCUUUCCAGCCUGGAAGAUGCGUCAAAGAUACAACUGAAAUUUUUGGCUGAGGAGAUGCAAGCUAUUAACAAAGGACUUGAAAAAGUUAUGCAGGAGUUGUCCAUGGCAGAAAGUGAUGGCCCUGUCUCCGAACACUUUUGUCAAGCACUGAAGGAGUUCCUUUGUUUUUCCGAAGGUGAAGUCAGGACAUUGGCUUCACUUUAUGCUACAGUGGGGAGGAAUGUAGACUCAUUGAUCUUAUAUUUUGGGGAAGAUCCUGCGCGUUGCCAAUUUGAGCAAGUGAUCUCGACUCUCUCAAACUUUGCAAAGAUGUUCAAGCAUUCCCACGAGGAAAACUGCAAGCAGUUAGAGUUUGAGAAAAAGAAGGCAGAGAAAGAAGGCGCAGCAGAACCUACAAAGAUGAAUGCCUCUGAUACCGGACAUUUGUUACAAUCACAAGUUAAUAGUGUCAAUUAACUGGAACCAAAUUUGGCUGAAGCAGAGUUUGAUAAAUUUACGUUCCGGAUUGGCUGAAAUGAUCUUUCUGGAACUAAAUAGCCCGCCUUGCUGGGCAGCCGCCCGAUGAUGGCCUAUUCCCCUGUUGGACAGUUUGGUGCAGAAGAACUUCAUUAUCAAAUAUGAUGACAGAUGCCAGAAUUUGAUAUGAUUGGUUUGACGAAGAGCAAGAUGAAGAUCUUGAGAAACUGGCAGAGGUAAUUGGAAGCACAAGCCGUAUUGCAUGGGCCAUCAAAGAAGAAUUUCGUUUACUUGAAGGACUCGACGCUGGUGUGAACAAAUAUGUUGAGGUUCCAGACUCCAAACAACAGCGAGUGCAGAGAAGGCUUGAAAUCUCAAACAAACGCACAAUGCUUCUGCUCUUGCCAUUAAUAGGAAUUAUUGUGUUGGCUGCUUUCAUUUAUAUACUCACCAGGUAUUUGUAAAUUUGUAAUGAACUUUUGUAAUAAAGUUGUGUACAUGCUCUAAUAAUAUAUUUAUCAUCAUUAUGUUUUUAAUUAA